GGUUUAAUAAUAAGAGUGAAUGGCAUAAAAAGGAGAAGGUAAAAAAUUGUUUGUAUUUAUUUGGUAAUUAAAAUUAAGUAAAAUUGAAAAAUCAUUUAGUAUAUAGUUAUAGUAAGGUUAUAUUGAAAUAUAAAAAAUUGAAACUAAAGUGGAUAAGUAUUGUAAAAGAAAUAUUUUAGAAGUUAAAAAAGAAGAUUUAAAUUUUUGUACCUUUUGUAUCAGGGAUUUUUUAUUUAUUAUGUUGAUAACCAAGGUUCCCGAAAUAAGGUGAUCUAUUUCAGUAAAUAUAUUUAUGUGGAAAAAUAAAAUUCAAUACUGUUUUAGUGGUGAAAUGUUAGUCGAACUUUAUAUAUCUGGUUGUUUCUGAAAUAAAUUUAAUUUAUUUUUAUUGGAAAAAAUCUAUAAAAUUAAAUUUUCAGGGGGAAGAGCUCUUGAGAAAUAAAUAAAAAAACUUAGCAGGUAAGGCAAAAUUAGGCUUAGAAUCAGCCAUAUUUUCAUAGCGUUUUAGGUGGUGUUUAAAUUGAAUAUAUUUUAAAGGAAAUUUUUAUUUAAAUUUAAGGAAUUAUCAUUUUGAAUAUUAAAAAGUGAGAAAUAAUGAUUAUAUUAGUAGAAAAGUUUAUGUUAUGAAUAAAUUGUCAGGAUAGAUAAUAAUGUUUAAUUAAUUUUGAUGUAUUUAAGGAAUUCGACAAAUAUUAUAUUCACCUGUUUAUCAAAAACAUGUCUAUUUGAAUUCAUUUUUUAGUCUGGCCUGCCCACUGAUUUAUUAAAGGGCCGCGGUAUUUGGACCGUGCUAAGGUAGCAUAAUCAAUAGUCUCUUAAUUGGAGUCUGGAAUGAAUGGUCGGAUGAAAUAUAAUUUGUCUGCGAAUAUAGUAUUGAAUUUUACUUUUAAGUGAAAAGGCUUAAAUAAAUUAAAGGGACGAUAAGACCCUGUGAAGCUUUAUUUUUAUUAUGUUUUAAUAUUUGAUAGUUGUGUGAUUAAAUUUGAGUUUAGUAAAAAUUAAAUUGGGGCGAUUGGAAUAUAUUAUUAACUGUUUUUAAUAGUAAAAUAAAUAAUUUUUAGGUGUUGAUCUUGUAUUACGGAUUAUAAGAUUUAAGUUACUCCAGGGAUAACAGCGUAAUUCUUUUUGAGAGUUCUUAUCGACAGAAGUAUUUGCGACCUCGAUGUUGAAUUAAGAUUUCAUUAAGGUGUAGUAGUCUUGAUUGUAGGUCUGUUCGACCUUUAAAAUUUUACAUGAUUUGAGUUCAGACCGGCGUAAGCCAGGUUAGUUUCUAUCUUUUAUUUUUUGCAAAUCAUUUUAGUACGAAAGGAGUAAAUGGUUGAAAUAUUUUUAAAAAUUAGAUUUACUUUAAAUUACUU
This 1358-nucleotide ribosomal RNA is filed under the name Typhlatya pearsei. RNAcentral's name for it is "16S ribosomal RNA". The stretch from base 911 to 1280 matches the Rfam family "Bacterial large subunit ribosomal RNA", at positions 2073 to 2647 of the family's 2925-position model. Lineage: Eukaryota; Metazoa; Arthropoda; Malacostraca; Decapoda; Atyidae. The record is from RNAcentral.